This is a long non-coding RNA of Sinocyclocheilus rhinocerous, 103 nucleotides long. RefSeq lists it as uncharacterized. The record is from RefSeq and is a predicted model, not a curated record. NCBI's taxonomy places the organism in Eukaryota, Metazoa, Chordata, Actinopteri, Cypriniformes, Cyprinidae. The transcript is spliced from 3 exons.
CACGUUACAGUUUUUUCAGUCCAGCAAACUGGUCUUUCAUUCUCCAGUUUCAGUUGUUGCUUGUUACAAAGUAACUAGAUUUUAGCAACAGUGUGGCAGGUUC